CCCCAUUCCCCUCCAGAGCCUGAGAACCACCCCCCGACUCCUCCACCCCCACACAUGUCCGCCCACUGGCAGACCAGCCCAGUCCACCUGGUGAUCCUCUGGACAAUUGCAGUUCUCCGGCCUUUACCUCCUGGCACUAGUUCCUGGCAGCAGUAGCUCCUCAAAGACAGCCAGCCAGUGGGUGAGCCCUCUCCCAGCUCCCAUUUUCUUGUGAGAACUGAGGCUGUUCCCUAGGACCCAGACUUCAAAGUGGAGGAAGGUGUGUGGGGGUGCUCUGGGUCAGUCACAGGGGACGGGCAGAAAGAGCUGCUGUCCCAGGGCGACCCUUGGAGGAGACUCGAGGAGGGCCUGGGGCCUCCCACUGGACUGUCUCCAUCCAGCCAGCUGGUGAGGGGCAGGAAGAGGAGACAGAUUGGGACUGUCUCCUGCUCUGGGUGGAGGCUCCUCCAGCAGGACGAGGGGCUGGGCUGGAUUCCUCUCGGGGGCCCCAGCCUCCGGCCUGCAGCACAGGGCUAUGCAGUCUGCAGCCUGAAUGAGAGGGAAGCAAGGAGAUGACGCCCUGAAGCUCUGAAAAGACAUUUUCCCAAGCAGCUGGCUCCUGGACAGCAUUCUAAGAAGUGUGGUCACGAAUAAUGCAUUGAUUGGCCCAUAUACUCAAAGAUGGAAGAGCUCUUCCUGGGAAGCCCAGCUGAAACAUCACAUCCAAAUUUGAUAACUGUAAUUCUACAAAUGCAACAAGUGUAACAAGUCCCAACUAGGAUAAAUACAAAGGAAACCACACCAAGACACAUGACAGUGAAUUUUCUGAAACUAGAAUUAGAGAGAAAAUCCCAAAAGCAGCCCGAGAAGAAUGAGACAUAUAGAGAGAAUGAUACAAAAAUGAUAGCAGUAUUCUUUGUGGAAACAAUGUAAGCCAGUAGUCACUAUUUAAAAUAGUGAAAGAAACUGUUAAUCUCGAAUUCUAUACUCUGCAAAAAUAUCUUUCAAAAAUGAAGGCAAAAUAAAGAAUUUUUAAGACACCAGCAUACUGUACUACAAGAAAUGUUAAAGAAAGUUCUUUUUUUUUUAAAAAAAAGAUUUUAUUUAUUUAU
Molecule: long non-coding RNA, 1091 nt
Organism: Canis lupus familiaris (dog)
Lineage: Eukaryota; Metazoa; Chordata; Mammalia; Carnivora; Canidae
Exons: 4
Source: RefSeq, a predicted model, not a curated record